Peromyscus eremicus (cactus mouse) is the source of this 550-nucleotide long non-coding RNA. RefSeq lists it as uncharacterized. The record is from RefSeq and is a predicted model, not a curated record. NCBI's taxonomy places the organism in Eukaryota, Metazoa, Chordata, Mammalia, Rodentia, Cricetidae. The transcript has 4 exons.
UGUAUUUCCUAGAUCAUAAUUCUUCAACUGGAGGAUACCAAUGGAGAUAUUGGAGAGGAAUGGGACAGGAGAAGGAGGAGAUCAUGGGAGGUAGAAGAGGAAAGUGGAAGUAGAUAAAGGGUGACAUCAUUUUUCAUCUGUACAUCACAGCUGGUCCCAAGAUGUUUUCCAUCAAGAUGAUAUGAAAUGACUGUGACAGGAAGAAGACAGGAUUACAAGAUUUCUGGGUCUUUGAGCAUAAAGUUUGAUGCUGUUUCAUUCUCCCAGUCGUUAACUCAAGACCAAAGGUAAAUUGCAAUGGAUAGGUAUAAGAGAAGCUAAAUGGAGUUUCCUGCUAUUUGUUUAACUUUUAACUAUUGAGAAUGGAGAAAGGGAUGGAAUUACAAAAGAAGGUAUGUAAUGGUAACAUUAAGAUUCCUGAAACACAAGCAGUCUGUGCAGAAUGCAUCAACUCCUGGGGAAGAUUAAGAAGAGCAGGGAGGCCGGGCGGUGGUGGCGCACGCCUUUAAUCCCAGCACUUGGGAGGCAGAGCCAGGCAGAUCUCUGUGAG